RNAcentral lists this ribosomal RNA (408 nucleotides) under uncultured bacterium. Its description in RNAcentral is "bacterial SSU rRNA". It matches the Rfam family "Bacterial small subunit ribosomal RNA", at positions 354 to 776 of the family's 1533-position model. The record is from RNAcentral.
GUGGGGAAUAUUGGGCAAUGGGCGCAAGCCUGACCCAGCAACGCCGCGUGAAGGAUGAAGGCUUUCGGGUUGUAAACUUCUUUUAUUCGGGACGAAACAAAUGACGGUACCGAAUGAAUAAGCCACGGCUAACUACGUGCCAGCAGCCGCGGUAAUACGUAGGUGGCGAGCGUUAUCCGGAUUUACUGGGUGUAAAGGGCGUGUAGGCGGGACUGCAAGUCAGGCGUGAAAACUAUGGGCUUAACCUAUAGCCUGCGUUUGAAACUGUAGUUCUUGAGUGCUGGAGAGGCAAUCGGAAUUCCGUGUGUAGCGGUGAAAUGCAUAGAUAUACGGAGGAACACCAGUGGCGAAGGCGGAUUGCUGGACAGUAACUGACGCUGAGGCGCGAAAGCGUGGGGAGCAAACAGG